Molecule: ribosomal RNA, 506 nt
Filed under: uncultured bacterium
Lineage: Bacteria
Description: bacterial SSU rRNA
Rfam family: Bacterial small subunit ribosomal RNA
Source: RNAcentral
GUCAGGAUGAACGCUAGCUACAGGCUUAACACAUGCAAGUCGAGGGGCAGCAUGAAAGUGCUUGCAACUUUGAUGGCGACCGGCGCACGGGUGGAGUAACGCGUAUCCAACCUUCCCUAUACUAGAGGAUAGCCCGGCGAAAGUCGGAUUAAUACUCUAUGUUGUUCGAUGCGGACAUCUAAGUUGAACCAAAGGUUUACCGGUAUAGGAUGGGGAUGCGUCUGAUUAGGUUGUUGGCGGGGUAACGGCCCACCAAGCCCACGAUCAGUAGGGGUUCUGAGAGGAAGGUCCCCCACAUUGGUACUGAGACACGGACCAAACUCCUACGGGAGGCAGCAGUGAGGAAUAUUGGUCAAUGGGCGAGAGCCUGAACCAGCCAAGUAGCGUGCAGGAUGACGGCCCUAUGGGUUGUAAACUGUCUUUUGGCCGGGGAUAAAGUGCAGUACGUGUACUGUUUUGUAUGUACCCGGAGAAUAAGGACCGGCUAAUUCCGUGCCAGCCGCAGC